GGCUCUUUGAUCAAUAUAUAUAAAGAGUCGAGCCUGCCCAGUGAUAUAUUUAACGGCCGCGGUACUCUGACCGUGCAAAGGUAGCAUAAUCAUUUGCCUUAUAAUUGAAGGCUAGUAUGAAUGGUUUGACAAAAACAAAGCUGUCUCUUUUUAAUUUUUUAGAACUUGAUUUUUAGGUGAAGAAGCCUAAAUAUAAUUGAAAGACAAGAAGACCCUAUCGAGCUUUAAAAAAUUUUGUUAAAAUAAAAUAGCUAUAAGAACUAAUUAUAACAAAAAAUUUUAGUUGGGGCGACUAAGGAACAAAAAAGCUUCCAAUCCUAUAUUUAUAACAUAUUGGUUUUGAUCCAAAACUUUUGAUUAAAAAAAUUAGUUACCGUAGGGAUAACAGCAUAAUCUUUUUUGAGAGUUCUUAUCGAAAAAAAGGUUUGUGACCUCGAUGUUGGACUAGAAUAUCCUAAAUGGCGCAGAAGUCUUUAAAGGUUGGUCUGUUCGACCACUAAUAUUCUACGUGAUCUGAGUUCAGACCGG
RNAcentral lists this ribosomal RNA (528 nucleotides) under Hemistomia cockerelli. RNAcentral's name for it is "partial 16S ribosomal RNA". It matches the Rfam family "Bacterial large subunit ribosomal RNA", at positions 1817 to 2619 of the family's 2925-position model. The record is from RNAcentral. Lineage: Eukaryota; Metazoa; Mollusca; Gastropoda; Littorinimorpha; Tateidae.